CCUGAUGCAGUAACAUUACAUCACAAAAGUUAGCUUAGUGGUUAGCACGUUUGCCUCACACCUCCAGGGUUGGGGGUUCGAUUCCCACCGUGGCCCUGUGUGUGUGGAGUUUGCAUGUUCUGCCCGUGCUGUGGGGGUUUCCUCCGGUUUCCUCCCCCAGUCCAAAGACAUGCUGAAUGGCAUGUCCAAAAGUGUCCAUAGUGUAUGAAUGUGUAUGUGAGUGUUGGAUUGGCACCCUGUCCAGGGUGUACCCUGCUUUGUGUCCGAUUCUCCCUGGGAUAGGCUCCAGGUUCCCCCGUGACCCUGAAGAAGGAGUAAGCGGUAGAAGCUGGAUGAAUGGAUGAUGCAGCAGUAGACCAUAAGCACAUCAUAAUGAAACUAAAGCCAAAUCCUGGACAUUUUCUCAAAUUGCUUUGGAGGUUUUUGUAAGGUCAGCCUAACAAAAGCAUUUCAGAGAACAUCCAUCCAUCCAUCCAUCUUCCAUACCGCUUAUCCUUUUCAGGAUUUCAAAUUUAUUUGCGCAUGCACCAGGAGGUUGCUCAUGUGAGCCACGACUGGCAAGAGAUAACCAGAACUAUAAUCAAGCAGCUGUCUAUAUUCUGUUAUGUCAAAAGAUUAAUUUCUUUGGCUUUAAAUGAAAAGAAAAUGAAUCCUGUUAGCAUUCCCAUUUUUUACUAAAUGUACCAAUAAUCCGAGUAAUUUAGUUUUUUGACGUAACUGUAACAGAUUACAGUUAACAGUUUUUUUUUGUAUCCUGAUUACGUAACGCUGUUACAUGCAUUCCAUAUCUCCGUAUGUUGUGUAUCCGUAUAUAGUGUACACAAGUUGGGGUACUGGAAAGGACCCCAGCUCACUACACAUUGGGACACUGAUAACUCAAUUUCCGUUGACAUGACUACAUACCUGCAUUGUAUAACCACACCAAAAAAUUCUACUUUAAAAUGUUUAAUUUUUAUGUGUCAUAUUAAUUUGUUCACUUAAUCACACAUGUUUCUGUCAUGGUACUUUAAGCAGAAUCGUAGGUGUCACGAUCUCGCCGGAAGAGGUCACUGUGGAGACAACGUGCACGUGCUCGAAGAGCGCAUGGACGCUAAGACUGUUUCCUAUGGACACACGUCUUUUGUUUUGGUUUUGUUCACUUCCAGCUCGGGUAUUGGUCGAUGUUCGAGGGUGCGUCAUGAUUGGUCCCAGCUGUCUGUAUUAAGCCUUAGAGGACUUUCUUCCUCAGUCACGUGACGUUUUCGCCUCCGUCUGAUGGUACCUGAGGUCAUGUUGGGAAUAAAAGGUAACGCUGACAGAAAGUAAACUGAAGAAAGUCAUUGUCAGUGAAUCUAGGUGUGUGCUAAUGCUAGCGUGCGUAUGACGUCAUGCGCCGUCGCCUAGAAGCGGCUUAUAGUUCCGGUUAGUAAAAAAAAACAACGCUAGUGAUAUAUUUGAGAUGAUAUUACCUUUCUAAAAUCCACACACUAGACGGUAGCGUGCACAGUGCACGUAAUGAGUAAGUCUCCCCCGUGCAGCGUGCAGACCAACUGAUCCAUAAUGAGUUUCAGUGACUUCUUCUUCUUCUUCUUCUUUUUGUUUUAAUGGCGGUUGGCAAACCACUAAAGGUACAUUACCGCCACCUACUGGACUGGAGUGUGGGCAGUAGUUUGGCAGGGGAAAAAAAAAAAAAAAAACUAAUAAUAAUAAUACCAAAACAAUAAUACAUAAAUAAAAGAAAAUAAAGAGAUAAAUAACUAUAUACUAGAUAUUCCUACUAGAUUACUAAAGUCUCUCAUGCUUCGUUGACAGCGAUUUUCAUUAUAGAUUAGUUGUUGCAGCUUUAAUAGAAAUAUUAUAUAUUGAUUAUUUUUUCCACUUUUACUGACUUCGACUUUUUACCAGCAUCAGUUCUGAUCAUAAUUACCAAACAUUUAUUCGUUUUCAGAAUUUUAACCCUUUAAACACCAGUUUCUUUACAUAAUGCAAACAUCCUCCAAGCUCAGGAAGCUUCUUUGACUCUCAUACAUGAGUUGGGAUUUGUGAUUUCCAGUACAAUAUCAUGUCUUUCUUUCAAACUGUUCACACACACACACACACACACACACACACACACACACUUUUCAGUACACACAUACAAACCACAACUCUGAUGUGAACGCACAUAUACAUACACACAGACGAUUAUAGCUACAUCAUUGAUUCAGUUGGUCUGCAGUGCUCUAUAAAACAGCAGAAUCAGAAAAAAAAAAGGGAAAACAUGUAUUUUCUCUAUAGGCUAAACCUGAGAAAAUUAGUUUAAAAAAAAUCACUGUCAACAAAAUAAAAGCCUAUUAAUGCAGAAUGCA
This is a long non-coding RNA of Ictalurus punctatus (channel catfish), 2327 nucleotides long. The record is from Ensembl. NCBI's taxonomy places the organism in Eukaryota, Metazoa, Chordata, Actinopteri, Siluriformes, Ictaluridae.